Molecule: ribosomal RNA, 445 nt
Filed under: uncultured bacterium
Lineage: Bacteria
Description: partial 16S ribosomal RNA
Rfam family: Bacterial small subunit ribosomal RNA
Source: RNAcentral
GUGAGGAAUAUUGGUCAAUGGGCGAGAGCCUGAACCAGCCAAGUCGCGUGAAGGAAGACGGCCCUACGGGUUGUAAACUUCUUUUGCAAUGGAAUAAAAAGAGUUACGUGUAAUUCAUUGUAUGUACAUUGCGAAUAAGGAUCGGCUAACUCCGUGCCAGCAGCCGCGGUAAUACGGAGGAUCCGAGCGUUAUCCGGAUUUAUUGGGUUUAAAGGGUGCGUAGGCGGAUUGGAAAGUCAGCGGUGAAAGUUUGCAGCUUAACUGUAAAAUUGCCAUUGAAACUGUCAGUCUUGAGUGCAAAUGAGGUAGGCGGAAUGUGUUGUGUAGCGGUGAAAUGCAUAGAUAUAACACAGAACACCAAUUGCGAAGGCAGCUUACUGGGAUGCAACUGACGCUGAGGCGCGAAAGCGUGGGGAGCAAACAGGAUUAGAAACCCGUGUAGUCC